Molecule: ribosomal RNA, 466 nt
Filed under: uncultured Limnohabitans sp.
Lineage: Bacteria; Pseudomonadati; Pseudomonadota; Betaproteobacteria; Burkholderiales; Comamonadaceae
Description: bacterial SSU rRNA
Rfam family: Bacterial small subunit ribosomal RNA
Source: RNAcentral
UCCUACGGGUGGCAGCAGUGGGGAAUUUUGGACAAUGGGCGCAAGCCUGAUCCAGCCAUUCCGCGUGCAGGAUGAAGGCCCUCGGGUUGUAAACUGCUUUUGUACGGAACGAAACGGUGCUCUCUAAUACAGGGCGCUAAUGACGGUACCGUAAGAAUAAGCACCGGCUAACUACGUGCCAGCAGCCGCGGUAAUACGUAGGGUGCAAGCGUUAAUCGGAAUUACUGGGCGUAAAGCGUGCGCAGGCGGUUUUGUAAGACAGGUGUGAAAUCCCCGGGCUUAACCUGGGAACUGCACUUGUGACUGCAACGCUGGAGUGCGGCAGAGGGGGAUGGAAUUCCGCGUGUAGCAGUGAAAUGCGUAGAUAUGCGGAGGAACACCGAUGGCGAAGGCAAUCCCCUGGGCCUGCACUGACGCUCAUGCACGAAAGCGUGGGGAGCAAACAGGAUUAGAUACCCGUGUAGUC